GGGUCAAUGAUGAGAAUCUUACAUUGUUCUGAAGAGAGGCGAUGACUUAAAAAUCAUGCUCAAGGGCUGGGCGCGGUGGCUC
RNAcentral lists this small nucleolar RNA (82 nucleotides) under Saimiri boliviensis boliviensis (Bolivian squirrel monkey). RNAcentral describes it as "Small nucleolar RNA SNORD115 (ENSSBOG00000001765.1)". It matches the Rfam family "Small nucleolar RNA SNORD115". From Rfam's summary of the family: HBII-52 is a member of the C/D class of snoRNAs, which contain the C (UGAUGA) and D (CUGA) box motifs. HBII-52 is encoded in a tandemly repeated array with another C/D snoRNA, HBII-85, in the Prader-Willi syndrome (PWS) region of chromosome 15. The record is from Rfam by way of RNAcentral. Lineage: Eukaryota; Metazoa; Chordata; Mammalia; Primates; Cebidae.